AGAGUUUGAUCAUGGCUCAGGACGAACGCUGGCGGCGUGCUUAACACAUGCAAGUCGAACGAUGAAGCCCUUCGGGGUGGAUUAGUGGCGAACGGGUGAGUAACACGUGGGCAAUCUGCCCUUCACUCUGGGACAAGCCCUGGAAACGGGGUCUAAUACCGGAUAACACCUGCCCGGGCAUCUGGGUGGGUUAAAAGCUCCGGCGGUGAAGGAUGAGCCCGCGGCCUAUCAGCUUGUUGGUGAGGUAGUGGCUCACCAAGGCGACGACGGGUAGCCGGCCUGAGAGGGCGACCGGCCACACUGGGACUGAGACACGGCCCAGACUCCUACGGGAGGCAGCAGUGGGGAAUAUUGCACAAUGGGCGAAAGCCUGAUGCAGCGACGCCGCGUGAGGGAUGACGGCCUUCGGGUUGUAAACCUCUUUCAGCAGGGAAGAAGCGAAAGUGACGGUACCUGCAGAAGAAGCGCCGGCUAACUACGUGCCAGCAGCCGCGGUAAUACGUAGGGCGCAAGCGUUGUCCGGAAUUAUUGGGCGUAAAGAGCUCGUAGGCGGCUUGUCACGUCGGGGUGUGAAAGCCCGGGGCUUAACCCCGGGUCUGCAUUCGAUACGGGCUAGCUAGAGUGUGGUAGGGGAGAUCGGAAUUCCUGGUGUAGCGGUGAAAUGCGCAGAUAUCAGGAGGAACACCGGUGGCGAAGGCGGAUCUCUGGGCCAUUACUGACGCUGAGGAGCGAAAGCGUGGGGAGCGAACAGGAUUAGAUACCCUAGUAGUCC
RNAcentral lists this ribosomal RNA (772 nucleotides) under uncultured bacterium. Its description in RNAcentral is "bacterial SSU rRNA". It matches the Rfam family "Bacterial small subunit ribosomal RNA", at positions 8 to 796 of the family's 1533-position model. The record is from RNAcentral.